AUGAAGCUUCCGGCGGCGGCCCUGUUGCCCUUUCUGUUGCAGCUCUCCCUCGUGGCCGCGGCCGCGGCUCAGGUCACCGGAGCUGCGCCGGGCUGCCCGACCAUCUGCGCUGGCGUGAGCGUGCCGUACCCAUUCGGCAUCAGGGAAGGGUGCUACUUGGAGGGCUUCAACCUCACCUGCGACCGGACGAGCGGCCAAGAGCGGCUGCUCAUCGGCGGCGCCGGGAGCACCCUCGAGGUCAUGGAGAUCUCGCUGGCCAACUCCACGGUGCGCGUCAGGAACACCGCUGGCGCCGUGCAGCUCGAGGGCAGCAGGGUAAGCGGCCCUACCCGAGCCGUCGGCAGGUGGGGCGGCCUUGGCGCCGGCGCCGGCGGCGGCCCGUUCGUGGUGUCGGCGUUGCUCAACAGGUUCGUGCUCACCGGGUGCAACGUGCUGGCCAAGCUGAUCGGGGACAGGGACAACGUCAUCGUCGGCUGCUCCGCCUUCUGCGCCGUCACCGACGGGUUGGACAACACCGUCUCCGCCGAGGACGUCGCCGAGUGCGCCGGCGUCGGCUGCUGCAAGACGCCCAUCACCAUCGGCCGUCCCUACUACCGCGUCAAUUUCACGGGGAUGGACCCGGCCCAGGAGAUGGACUCGUUACUGCGUGAAGCUCUGGUGCGCGUCGCCGAGACGGACUGGUUCGGCACGUCGGCCGCGCGCGCCAACUCCUCCCGCGGGGCGGCGAUGCCCCUGGUGCUGGAGUGGGUGGUGGACUCCAAGCGGCUCCGGCAAGCUGAGGAUCCCCCGGGGUGGGCGGCGACGGGCUGCCCCAAUGACGCGGGGACGAGCGAGUGCCGGAGCAGCCACAGCUCAUGCAGCAAUGUCACCAACAACUACCGCACUGGCUACGUGUGCCGGUGCAAGGACGGGUACCAGGGCAACCCAUACCUCGCCGGCGCCGGCGGAUGCCAAGACGUCGACGAGUGCGCGCAGACUGAUAAGUUCAUGUGCUCCGGCGUAUGCACCAACACGCCCGGAGGGUACCACUGCGUGUGUCCGCCCCGCUCCCGUGGCAACCCUCGGAUCAGAGAUGGCUGUGUCAAAUCAUCUCUAAGUCUAGGUUUAAGUAUCGGCAUAGGAAUCGGCAGUGGUGCCGCCCUUCUUUUCUUGGUGCUUGGUGCCAUUUUUGUGACCCAGAAGCUGAAGCGUCAAAGGGCAAAAGUAUCCAAGCAGAAAUUCUUUAAGCAAAACAGGGGACAUCUACUAGAGCAAUUGGUGUCGCAGAAGGCAGACAUAGCUGAGAGGAUGAUCAUCCCCUUGGUGGAGCUCGAGAAGGCCACCAACAACUUCGACAAAGCUCGUGAGAUCGGUGGAGGAGGGCAUGGCAUGGUGUACAAAGGGAUCAUGUCAGACCUUCACGUCGUGGCGAUCAAGAAGUCCAAGGUCGUAAUCCAGAAGGAAAUCGAUGAGUUCAUCAACGAGGUGGCAAUCCUCUCGCAGAUAAAUCAUCGGAACGUGGUGAAGCUCUUCGGGUGCUGCCUCGAGACAGAGGUGCCGUUGCUAGUAUACGAGUUCAUCUCCAACAGGACACUUUACCAUCACCUUCAUGUCGAAGAACCUGAAGCUUCAUUGCCAUGGGUGGAGCGGCUAAGAAUUGCAACAGAGACCGCAAGAGCUCUCGCGUAUCUUCACUCGGCUGUGUCAUUCCCUAUAGUCCACAGGGAUAUCAAGUCUCAAAACAUUCUGUUAGAUGGCACUCUCAUAGCAAAGGUGUCAGAUUUUGGAGCUUCAAGGUGCAUCCCGCUAGAUCAAACAGGGGAUGAAACCGCCAUUCAAGGGACAUUUGGGUACCUAGACCCUAUGUAUUGCUACUCAGGACAGCUCACCGAGGAGAGCGAUGUUUAUAGCUUCGGCGUGCUCCUAAUGGAGCUGCUCACCAGGAAAAAACCAUGCUCAUAUCGAUCAUCCGGGGAGAAAAGCCUCGUCGCCUAUUUCACCAGUUUGCUAGCAGAAGGUGACCUCUCAAGUGUGUUAGACCCUCAGGUCAUGAUGGAAGGUGGCAAAAAGAUUGAAGAAGUAAUUAUGUUGGCAGCGGCAUGCGUCAGGAUGGAAGGAGGUCAACGACCAUCCAUGAGGCAAGUGGAGAUGACACUUGAGAGUCUUCAAGUACCCCAUGAAAAUGUUGUGAUGGGUGUUAUUGAUGCACAAGGUUAUACAAUGAUUGAAGGCGGAAGCACGGAGGAGGUUAGCAGACAAUAUAGCCGGGAAGAAGAAUAUUUGUUCUCAUCAAGGUGCCCGCGGUAG
Molecule: ribosomal RNA, 2286 nt
Filed under: Triticum aestivum (bread wheat)
Lineage: Eukaryota; Viridiplantae; Streptophyta; Magnoliopsida; Poales; Poaceae
Description: partial small subunit ribosomal RNA
Source: RNAcentral